RNAcentral lists this ribosomal RNA (448 nucleotides) under uncultured bacterium. Its description in RNAcentral is "bacterial SSU rRNA". It matches the Rfam family "Bacterial small subunit ribosomal RNA", at positions 355 to 825 of the family's 1533-position model. The record is from RNAcentral.
UGGGGAAUAUUGGACAAUGGGCGCAAGCCUGAUCCAGCCAUGCCGCGUGAGUGACGAAGGUCUUCGGAUUGUAAAGCUCUUUUGGCGGGGACGAUAAUGACGGUACCCGCAGAAUAAGCCCCGGCUAACUUCGUGCCAGCAGCCGCGGUAAUACGAAGGGGGCUAGCGUUGUUCGGAAUUACUGGGCGUAAAGGGCUCGUAGGCGGCCAACUAAGUCAGACGUGAAAUCCCUCGGCUUAACCGGGGAACUGCGUCUGAUACUGGAUGGCUUGAAUCCGGGAGAGGGAUGUGGAAUUCCAGGUGUAGCGGUGAAAUGCGUAGAUAUCUGGAGGAACACCGGUGGCGAAGGCGGCAUCCUGGACCGGUAUUGACGCUGAGUGAGCGAAAGCCAGGGGAGCAAACGGGAUUAGAUACCCGCGUAGUCCCUGAGCGGGCUGGCAAGGCGCAU